Molecule: small RNA, 552 nt
Filed under: Pan troglodytes (chimpanzee)
Lineage: Eukaryota; Metazoa; Chordata; Mammalia; Primates; Hominidae
Description: processed transcript
Source: RNAcentral
AUUACUUUUCCGAUUAUCGUCCACUUUGGGAUACGCCCUGCACAGUUGAGUUAUGCAGGAGACCCACAUAUGAAGCAGUGAACCAGGCACUGUGUACCAAAAACUGUGGAAGAGUUAUGUGAAACUUCGCCACCUCCUAGCAAAUAGUCCCAAAGUCAAACAAACUGACAAACAGAAGCUGGCACAGAGGGAGGAAGCCCUCCAAAAAAUACGGCAGAAGAAUACAAUGAGACGAGAAGUAACGGUGGAGCUAAGUAGCCAAGGAUUCUGGAAAACUGGCAUCCGUUCUGAUGUCUGUCAGCAUGCAAUGAUGCUACCUGUUCUGACCCAUCAUAUCCGCUACCACCAAUGCCUAAUGCAUUUGGACAAGUUGAUAGGAUAUACUUUCCAAGAUCGUUGUCUGUUGCAGCUGGCCAUGACUCAUCCAAGUCAUCAUUUAAAUUUUGGAAUGAAUCCUGAUCAUGCCAGGAAUUCGUUGUCUAACUGUGGAAUUCGGCAGCCCAAAUACGGAGACAGAAAAGUUCAUCACAUGCACAUGCGGAAGAAAGGUAU